AUGAAGCGGAGACGCUGGGCUGGUAACCCGAAUUGCUCCUUUUGUAAAGAUAGAGAGACUUCUGAACAUUUGUUCUUUACAUGCACUGUAGCUAGAGUGGUUUGGAGGACAGUGGGCUGUGUUUUGGGCACUGAUAAAUGCGCAAACAAUAUUUGGCAGUUCUUCUCCUGGUGCUACAUGGUUUUACCUGAUGGUGAAAGAUUCUACCCUUUCGGUUUAGCAGCCAUUUGUUGGGAAAUUUGGAAUUGUCGCAACCAAGCUACCUUUGAACAGAAAAAGCUUAAAACCCCUUUUGCUGUGAGCUUUUCAGCAUGUGGUUUCAUGUCUUAUUGGGCAGGGAUGAUGAAUGGAGAAGAUCAGGCGAUGAUGGAACGGGGCUCCAAGAUGCUGAAGGCCAGUACUGCAGCCAUGAUGAGGAUCUGCGCGGCGCCGGGUGAGAAGACACUGAACUGA
RNAcentral lists this ribosomal RNA (453 nucleotides) under Triticum aestivum (bread wheat). RNAcentral's name for it is "partial small subunit ribosomal RNA". Lineage: Eukaryota; Viridiplantae; Streptophyta; Magnoliopsida; Poales; Poaceae. The record is from RNAcentral.